UACGUAGGCAGCGAGCGUUGUUCGGAGUUACUGGGCGUAAAGGGUGUGUAGGCGGUUGUUUAAGUUUGGUGUGAAAUCUCCCGGCUCAACUGGGAGGUGCGCCGAAUACUGAAUGACUAGAGUGCGGGAGAGGAAAGUGGAAUUCCUGGUGUAGCGGUGAAAUGCGUAGAUAUCAGGAGGAACACCGGUGGUGUAGACGGCUUUCUGGACCGUAACUGACGCUGAGACACGAAAGCGUGGGUAGCAAACAGG
This 252-nucleotide ribosomal RNA is filed under the name uncultured bacterium. RNAcentral describes it as "partial 16S ribosomal RNA". It matches the Rfam family "Bacterial small subunit ribosomal RNA", at positions 524 to 776 of the family's 1533-position model. The record is from RNAcentral.